AACGAACGCUGGCGGCAGGCUUAACACAUGCAAGUCGAGCGCCCCGCAAGGGGAGCGGCCGACGGGUGAGUAACGCGUGGGAACGUACCUUCUGGUUCGGAACAACUCCGGGAGACUGGAGCUAAUACCGGAUAAGCCCUAACGGGGAAAGAUUUAUCGCCGAAAGAUCGGCCCGCGUCUGAUUAGCUAGUUGGUGAGGUAACGGCUCACCAAGGCGACGAUCAGUAGCUGUUCUGAGAGGAUGAUCAGCCACACUGGGACUGAGACACGGCCCAGACUCCUACGGGAGGCAGCAGUGGGGAAUAUUGGACAAUGGGCGCAAGCCUGAUCCAGCCAUGCCGCGUGAGUGAUGAAGGCCUUAGGGUUGUAAAGCUCUUUUGUCCGGGAAGAUAAUGACUGUACCGGAAGAAUAAGCCCCGGCUAACUUCGU
RNAcentral lists this ribosomal RNA (430 nucleotides) under uncultured bacterium. RNAcentral describes it as "partial 16S ribosomal RNA". It matches the Rfam family "Bacterial small subunit ribosomal RNA", at positions 29 to 506 of the family's 1533-position model. The record is from RNAcentral.